Molecule: long non-coding RNA, 3844 nt
Filed under: Salmo salar (Atlantic salmon)
Lineage: Eukaryota; Metazoa; Chordata; Actinopteri; Salmoniformes; Salmonidae
Description: lncRNA (ENSSSAG00000118963.1)
Source: RNAcentral
UAUACUGGUAAAGCCUGCCCUUGACUUAAGACACUGGCAGAAUAGUUGGAGAUGGAUUACAAUGCUACAGAUCAGUUUCAAUUCAGGACCAGUUUACAAAGAAGGAAAAGAAGGCAUGGUCCAUUUUCCUGGCUGUUUGUCUCCCACUCUAUCAUAUGAAUGGCAGUUCACUGAUGAUAGUUGUUGUCAAGCUCUGAGGGGAAGUCACCCUGAGCACUGUUGUCUGAGGCAGUAUGCGAGUGAAGACCGCUGGGAUUCUACUCUUACUUUCUCCACACUGGCAUUUCAGAUCUCUUUGGUCUAAAGUGUGGACUUCCACAGGUCAGGAACCUCCUUGACUGUUAUUUGAGAAUCGUUGGAGGCAAGAUAUAGAUAACCACCCCGGGUUGCGGGACUCUGGGGGUCCUCUGAUCUACCCCAGAGAGGAUGGCCACUGGGCCAUGGUGGGGGUCACCUCCUGGGGGAAAGGCUGUGGCCGGAGCCGGAUCAACAAGGCCGAGUCCCCAGCCAAGAUAGGAUCCCCGGGGGUCUUUACUGAUGUCAAGAUGUUCCUGCCCUGGAUCGAGACGAAACUCGGAAGGUUAUCUAACACGUUUUAGUCAGUGUAAGCCAUGCGGGUCUGGAUUUGUUUAAUUCAUUGGUUUAACAGAUGGUCUAACAAAUGAUUUUGUUUUGUUCAGCAGCAGAUUCUAACCGAAACCAAAGGUCCAUGUCAAGUAAAAUGUGUUUCUUCUCAUCAAUUCCACAUUGCAUUUACUUGCAUGCUUUGAAACUGCGCCCACAUCCUCUUUGUCAUCUGAUUAGCAACUACAUUUCUAUUUACGCAAUAGCUCACUUAUGCAAUUUGUACAAUUCACCUUUACCGUAUGAUGUGACUGUACUCUUUGAACAGUGCAUUUGAUGCUGAUUGUGUGUACUGUGCUGAAAGACUGUGCAGUGAGGGAUAGGCCUGUGAGGGUCUCAAACCCAAACCUUAGUCUGUCUCGACAAUAACGAGUGGGUGUCAGUGUACAGGCCCGUUGCACAGGGGGAGGGAGAGCUCUGCUGAAUUGAAUGCUCUUCUUGAAUGCACUUUAAUUAAGUACGCUUUUAGGCCAAUUUACUCACCACUUGACAGCUGUCAUGGGCAGCAGGUAGCCAAGCUGUUAGACAGGCGAGCAGGCAGCCAGCGGGUUGCUGUUAUCAAAUCCUAGAUUCCAUUGCCUCAAGUUGUGCCCUUGAGCAAGGCACUUAAUGCCCCCCCCCCCCCCCACACCUCUCCAAAAACCUGUAUGUAUGUACUGUAAGUCAAACUUUGGUUGGACCAUGUGUGCAAUUGACCAAUAAAGUGAUCUUAAUCAGUUUAGUCAAAAGCUGGAAUACUUGUGACAGCUUUUUCACAAAGUAAUAGAUUGACCCUGUAGGAACAGAUGAAACUGUUCUUGGAACAUCAAAUGCAUCCAGUCAGUUUUCCAUACUGAUUCUCUCUCUGUGUACAGUGGCAAGAAAAAGUGUGAACCCUUGGAUUUAAUAACUGGUUGACCCUCCUUUGGCAGUAAUAACCUCAACCAAACGUUUUCUGUAGUUGCGGAUCAGACCUGCAGAAUGGUCAGGAUUAAUUUUGGACCAUUCCUCUUUACAAAACUGUUUCAGUUCAGCAAAAUUCUUGAGGUCUCGUGUGAACCGCUCUCUUGAGGUCAUGCCACAGCAUCUCAAUCGGGUUGAGGUCAGGACUGACUGGGCCACUCCAGAAGGCAUAUUUUCUUCUGUUGAAGCCAUUCUGUUUUACUUCUGUGUUUUGGGUUGUUGUCCUGUUGCAUCACCCAACUUCUGCUGAUCUUCAAUUGGCGGACAGAUAGCCUUACAUUCUCCUGCAAAAUGUCUUGAUAAAAUUAAUGCCCAAGUUUUCCGUCAAUGAUGGCAAGCUCUCCAGGCACUGAGGCAGCAAAGCAGCCCCAAACCAUGAUGCUCCCUCCACCAUACUUGACAGUUGGGAUGAGGUUUUGAUGUUGGUGUGCUGUGCCUUUUUUUUUCUGUCCACACAUAGUGUUGUGUGUUACUUCCAAACUGUAGUUUCAUCAGUCCACAGAAUAUUUUACCAGUAGCGCUGUGCAACAUCCUGGUGCACUUUGGCAAACCUCAGACGUGCAGCAAUGUUUUUUUGGACAGCAGUGACUUUCGUGGUGUCCUCCCAUGAACACCAUUCUUGUUUAGUGUUUUACGUAUCAUAGACUCGUCAACAGAGAUGUUAGCACGUUCCAGAGAUUUCUCGUCGGGAUGUGGCACCGUGGCACUAGUCCAGGAUCAGAGGGCCGUUCAGAGUUUCAACUACCCACAAUCCUACAGCAACAACUCUGACUGCCACUGGGUCAUCUAUGCCCCCCAGGAUCAUGUUGUCAAGGUGACACAUGUUGACUUUUACCUCUUAGGCAGAGGGGGCUUUAAUAUUUAGUGUAUUGUCCUGUGCAAGGCCAUUGUGACCGAAGGGAUACCCCAGAUCUUUGACCGCUCCCAGUGGAAUCAUGAAUACGGUCUCUGGUGUGGAUGGGAUCAGUUUACCUGUACUGGAAAGAAUGUGUUACUCACUUUGAUGCAACAAUAACAACAAUAAUAACAGCAACACAUACUGCAAUACUGUUGCUGCACAUGUCACAUUGUUUGCUGAAAUUACAAUUAUUUAAAAGUUUACAGCUUAGUGCAAGGAUAAUGUAGUAUUCCUUUGUUAUUUUAUUCUCUUAUCUUGCAGCUUGACUUUGACUUGGAGCAGUCAGAUGACUGCACUAUGAUUCGCUGAUUUGUACUUGGAGAUGUGGACGCAAAUCCAUUUUUAUUGGUCACAUACACAUGGUUAGCAGAUGUUAAUGCGAGUGUAGCGAAAUGCUUGUGCUUCUAUUUCCGACAGUGCAAUAAUAUCUAACAUGUCAUUUAACAAUUCCCUAACAACUACAUAAUACACACACAUCUAAAGGGAUGGAAUAAGAAUAUGUAUGAGCGAUGGCCGAGUAGCAUAGGCAAGGUGCAGUAGAUGGUAUAAAAUACAGUAAAUACAUGUGAUAUGAGUUAUGUAAAGUGGCAUUAUUUAGAGUGCAUUGUAUAAAGUGACUAGUGAUCCAUUUAUUAAAGUGCCCAGUGAUUGGGUCUCAAUGUAGGCAGCAGCCUUGGCGUUAGUGAUUUGCUGCUAGGCAGUCUGAUGGCCUUGAGAGAGAAGCUGUUUUUCAGUCUCUCAGUCCCAGCUUUGAUGCACCUGCACUGACCUCGCCUUCUGGAUGGUAGCGGUGUGCACAGGCAGGUAGUUUGCCCCCGGUGAUGUGUUGUGCAGACCGCACCACCCUCUGGAGAGCCUUGCGGUUGAGGGCAGUGCAGUUGCCAUACCAGGCUGUGAUACAGCCCGACAGGAUGCUCUUGAUUGUGCAUCUGUAAAGUUGUCAGGGUUUUGGGUGACAAGCUACAUUUUUUCAGCCUCCUGAGGUUGAAGAGGCGCUGUUGCGCCUUCUUCACCACACUGUCUGUGUGAGUGGACCAUUUCAGUUUGUCUGUGAUGUGUACGCCGAGGAACUUAAAACUUUCCACCUUCUCCACUGCUGUCCCUUCGAUGUGGAUGGGGGGGUGCUCCCUCUGCUGAUUCCUGAAGUCCACGAUCAUCUCUUUUUGUUGACGUUGAGUGAGGGCACUUGAAGUGUGGUGUUUCUGGUUAGGGUAGGUUUUAAUAGUCACAGUGGGUACAGCAUCUCCAAUGCACCUUAUAAACGCACUCACCGAGUCAGCAUAUAGGUCGAUGUUGUUCUCUGAGGCUGACCGGAACAUAUACCAGGCCACAUGAUCAAAACAACCUUGAAGCGUGGCUUCCGAUUGGUCGGACCAGCGU